RNAcentral lists this ribosomal RNA (492 nucleotides) under uncultured bacterium. Its description in RNAcentral is "partial 16S ribosomal RNA". It matches the Rfam family "Bacterial small subunit ribosomal RNA", at positions 29 to 507 of the family's 1533-position model. The record is from RNAcentral.
AGUGAACGCUGGCGGUAGGCCUAACACAUGCAAGUCGAACGGCAGCACAGUAAGAGCUUGCUCUUACGGGUGGCGAGUGGCGGACGGUUGAGGAAUACAUCGGAAUCUACUUUUUCGUGGGGAAUAACGUAGGGAAACUUACGCUAAUACCGCAUACGACCUAUGGGUGAAAGCAGGGGAUCUUCGGACCUUGCGCGAUUGAAUGAGCCGAUGUCGGAUUUGCUAGUUGGCGGGGUAAAGGCCCACCAAGGCGACGAUCCGUAGAUGGUCUGAGAGGAUGAUCAGCCACACUGGAACUGAGACACGGUCCAGACUCCUACGGGAGGCAGCAGUGGGGAAUAUUGGACAAUGGGCGCAAGCCUGAUCCAGCCAUACCGCGUGGGUGAAGAAGGCCUUCGGGUUGUAAAGCCCUUUUGUUGGGAAAGAAAAGCAGCAGGUUAAUACCCCGCUGUUCUGACGGUACCCAAAGAAUGAGCACCGGCUAACUUCGUG